CUACCAUGCUGCAAGUCAUAGGAAAGUCUAGCACCUACAGACAUGAGCAUGGAAGUACGCGGUGCUUGAUGAUGCCAAAAGUGGGUUCUUCAGGAGGUGUCCUCCUGGGAGCUGGUAGCUCCAUGCCCAUCAUUGCCCCUGGAGGCUUUCCAGAGGGACAAGAGGAGGAGGCAGAAGACAGUGAUGUGUGUGAUCCUGAUUCUGUGUAGGCUGAGGCUAAGCUCUGCAGUGGGAGUGGAGUCAGCGUUUCUUCUUGCUGUUGAGCUUCGGGACAGGCAUCCAUCUCUUGCGUGCACACAGUUCUUUCGGUUGAACAUCUGCAAGGUGACACAGAUUUGAGGGACUGUCAUACUUGACUAGAGCCCUCUUGGGUGCUCCUAGAACCUGGAAUGAACAAACUCUAAGAGGAGAUUGAAGAUUGCCCGCAUGCUGGGACUCCAGGCCGAAUCACUUCAGGUGGCCUCGGAGGGAACACCUGUCCAAUGCUGCCAAGAAAUAAACCUUUCAGGGAAAA
This is a long non-coding RNA of Piliocolobus tephrosceles (Ugandan red Colobus), 514 nucleotides long. RefSeq lists it as uncharacterized. The transcript has 3 exons. The record is from RefSeq and is a predicted model, not a curated record. NCBI's taxonomy places the organism in Eukaryota, Metazoa, Chordata, Mammalia, Primates, Cercopithecidae.